RNAcentral lists this transfer RNA (85 nucleotides) under Felis catus (domestic cat). It matches the Rfam family "tRNA". From Rfam's summary of the family: Transfer RNA (tRNA) molecules are approximately 80 nucleotides in length. The record is from Rfam by way of RNAcentral. Lineage: Eukaryota; Metazoa; Chordata; Mammalia; Carnivora; Felidae.
GCCUGGGUGGCUCAGUCGGUUGAGCGUCUGACUUCAGCUCAGGUCACGAUCUCACGGUUCGUGAGUUCGAGCCCCGCAUCGGGCU